CUGCCUUUCGUUGACUCAUUCAAGGAACUGUUUCAUAGUCUCCCCACCAUGAAAUGUGACCCUAGAAAAGUGACCGCCGCUACGGCCUCCUCCAACGGGAGCACGUCAGCUAGCGUCGGAUUCCUGCUGUCGUGGAUGUGAGAGAGAGUCUGAAAAACUCCACGCUAGCGUGGCAAGAAGAGAUAAGCUCAUUCGCCUCCUUUCCCACUCUGCUCUCUCUCCCCCUUAGCCUGACUCAUGAAGGACGAGUGGACGACGGCGGCCGUGCGCCGGUGUGACCCUCACCGCGGGAGCCGGCGAGCGUGAGCGGGGCCCGGCGCUGCUGGGAGGCGGCGCGCAGGCCCAUCCCGACGGGACCACGUCAAGCGUCCGGCCAGCAGCGACUGGACGGUGGCGCGCAGGCCGGCGCGGGCAAGGCCGAGGCACCGCGGCCGGCCGGCGGCGGCGUGCAGGCCCCGCGCGGGCGGCGGACGGCGAGCGACCGGCGAAGCUGCUACGCGGCGGCGCACGUGCCCGCACGUGCAAGGGAACGGUGAUGUGGCCACGGCUCGCCGGAUCCGCCGAGAAGGAGACGACGGUGACGGAGUGCUAUAAGUUAAAUCUCUCGUUGACAUGGAACUGCCACGUAGGCCUUUGAGCUAUCUGAGGAGGCCUAGGCCAUGUUUAGCCCCUCCAAACUCCCAACUUUGACACUAUGUAAAAAGAAGAUUCACCGUCAUAUCAAACUUGCGGUAUAUGCAUGGAGUAGUAAAUGUAGACGAAAUCAAAAACUAAUUGCACAGUUUUGUUGUACUUUGCGAGACGAAUCUUUUAAGCCUAAUUAGUCAAUGUUUGAACAAUAAUUUACAAAUACAAAUGAAAUACUACAGUUGCGCAUUUGGCAGAAUGACAAUUUUGCCACUUCCAAAUUGGGAACUAAACA
Molecule: long non-coding RNA, 922 nt
Filed under: Setaria italica (foxtail millet)
Lineage: Eukaryota; Viridiplantae; Streptophyta; Magnoliopsida; Poales; Poaceae
Description: long non-coding RNA (SITA_LNC001718)
Source: RNAcentral